RNAcentral lists this ribosomal RNA (164 nucleotides) under uncultured bacterium. RNAcentral describes it as "partial 16S rRNA". It matches the Rfam family "Bacterial small subunit ribosomal RNA", at positions 355 to 511 of the family's 1533-position model. The record is from RNAcentral.
UAGGGAAUCUUCCACAAUGGGCGAAAGCCUGAUGGAGCAACGCCGCGUGUGUGAUGAAGGGUUCCGGCUCGUAAAACACUGUUGUAAGAGAAGAAUGACAUUGAGAGUAACUGUUCAAUGUGUGACGGUAUCUUACCAGAAAGGUACGGCUAAAUACGUGCGAG